UGGUAUGGCUCAGUCGGUAGAGCGGUUCACUCGUAAUGAACAGGUCAUCGGUUCGAUUCCGAUUACC
This 67-nucleotide transfer RNA is filed under the name human gut metagenome. It matches the Rfam family "tRNA". Rfam says of the family: Transfer RNA (tRNA) molecules are approximately 80 nucleotides in length. Their secondary structure includes four short double-helical elements and three loops (D, anti-codon, and T loops). The record is from RNAcentral.